CAGUCGCCGCGGUAAUGCGAAGGGGGCUAGCGUUGCUCGGAAUCACUGGGCGUAAAGGGUGCGUAGGCGGGUCUUUAAGUCAGGGGUGAAAUCCUGGAGCUCAACUCCAGAACUGCCUUUGAUACUGAAGAUCUUGAGUUCGGGAGAGGUGAGUGGAACUGCGAGUGUAGAGGUGAAAUUCGUAGAUAUUCGCAAGAACACCAGUGGCGAAGGCGGCUCACUGGCCCGAUACUGACGCUGAGGCACGAAAGCGUGGGGAGCAAACAGGAUUAGAUACCCGCGUAGUCCCUGUCUCUUAUAC
Molecule: ribosomal RNA, 301 nt
Filed under: uncultured bacterium
Lineage: Bacteria
Description: partial 16S ribosomal RNA
Rfam family: Bacterial small subunit ribosomal RNA
Source: RNAcentral